This 545-nucleotide long non-coding RNA is filed under the name Rattus norvegicus (Norway rat). RNAcentral describes it as "long non-coding RNA NONRATT017692". Lineage: Eukaryota; Metazoa; Chordata; Mammalia; Rodentia; Muridae. The record is from RNAcentral.
GUAGAAGAUGAGUACCGAGCUUUCCAGGAAGAAGCCAAGAAGCAGAUUGAAGAUUUGAAUAUGACGUUAGAAAAGCUAAGAUCAGAGCUGGAGGAAAAAGAAACAGAGCGGAGCGACAUGAAGGAAACCAUCUUUGAGCUUGAAGAUGAGGUGGAGCAGCACCGGGCUGUGAAGCUGCACGACAACCUCAUUAUCUCUGACUUAGAGAGUAAGUAACGCGGCGCCCGGGGCCUGUGUCCCUCAGCUCUGCUUGCUUGUGUGCCACGGUGAGAGUAGCGUUCUGACCAGCACGCGGUGUGUGACAGCGCAGCUGACUACAGACGCACUUGACAGGGCUGUGCUUCACCUCUAGUUGGGAAACUUGGGGUCACUGUGCUUUGUUCUGAAAUGUUCCCUAAAAGCAUUACUUGAACACUGUGUCUGAUGACUGAGAAUCUCUGGAGUGGAAAGCAAACAGAGUCAGUCAUUUUCCAGACCAUAAGAAAAACCAUUCAUUUACUUUUGGUGAUUGCAACUGAACAGAGUUUUAAAAAAAAAAAAAAAAA